Molecule: ribosomal RNA, 440 nt
Filed under: uncultured bacterium
Lineage: Bacteria
Description: partial 16S ribosomal RNA
Rfam family: Bacterial small subunit ribosomal RNA
Source: RNAcentral
CCUACGGGAGGCAGCAGUGGGGAAUAUUGCACAAUGGGGGAAACCCUGAUGCAGCGACGCCGCGUGAGUGAAGAAGUAUUUCGGUAUGUAAAGCUCUAUCAGCAGGGAAGAUAAUGACGGUACCUGAGUCAAAAGCCCCGGCUAACGAAGGGCCAACAGCCGCGGUAAUACGUAGGUGGCAGGGUUUAUCCGGAUAUACUGGGUGUAAAGGGAGCGUAGACGGCAUGGCAAGUCUGAAGUGAAAGCCCGAGGCGCAACCGGGGGACUGCUUUGGAAACUGUUAAGCUGGAGUGCAGGAGAGGUAAGUGGAAUGCCUGGUGUAGCGGUGAAAUGCGUAGAUAUUAGGAGGAACACCAGUGGCGAAGGCGGCUUACUGGACUGUAACUGACGUUGAGGCUCGAAAGCGUGGGGAGCAAACAGGAUUAGAUACCCCGGUAGUC